GCGGAAGUGGUGAAACUGGCAAACACGUACGGUUCAGGGCCGUAUGCUUUCGGGCUUGAGGGUUCAACUCCCUCCUUCCGCACCA
This 85-nucleotide transfer RNA is filed under the name Candidatus Omnitrophota bacterium. RNAcentral describes it as "tRNA-Leu". It matches the Rfam family "tRNA". Rfam says of the family: Transfer RNA (tRNA) molecules are approximately 80 nucleotides in length. Their secondary structure includes four short double-helical elements and three loops (D, anti-codon, and T loops). The record is from RNAcentral. Lineage: Bacteria; Pseudomonadati; Candidatus Omnitrophota.